This 502-nucleotide ribosomal RNA is filed under the name uncultured bacterium. Its description in RNAcentral is "partial 16S ribosomal RNA". It matches the Rfam family "Bacterial small subunit ribosomal RNA", at positions 28 to 507 of the family's 1533-position model. The record is from RNAcentral.
GACGAACGCUGGCGGCGUGCCUAAUACAUGCAAGUCGAACGAACCGCGACUGAGUGCUUGCACUUGGUCAAGGUGAGUGGCGAACGGGUGAGUAACACGUGGGUAACCUACCUCAUAGUGGGGGAUAACAGUCGGAAACGACUGCUAAUACCGCAUAGGACAUAGGAUCACAUGAUCCAGUGAGGAAAGGUGGCGCAAGCUAUCGCUAAGAGAUGGACCCGCGGUGCAUUAGCUAGUUGGUAGGGUAAAGGCCUACCAAGGCGAUGAUGCAUAGCCGACCUGAGAGGGUGAUCGGCCACAUUGGGACUGAGACACGGCCCAAACUCCUACGGGAGGCAGCAGUAGGGAAUCUUCCGCAAUGGACGCAAGUCUGACGGAGCAACGCCGCGUGAGUGAAGAAGGUCUUCGGAUCGUAAAGCUCUGUUGUUAGAGAAGAACAGCGCAUAGAGUAACUGCUAUGCGUGUGACGGUAGCUAACCAGAAAGCCACGGCUAACUACGUG